CGGGAGAGCGGCAGCGAUGCAGUCGUCGCUCACGAAUCCCCUUUUCUACUAUGUGCAGGAUUCUCCAAGAAGCCGGUGGUUAAAGAGAGGAGGGGAGAGAAAACUAAAAAGAGUGGGCAAGGCAGGGACUGUGAACCAUGGCCAGACUUGAGCACUGGAACCACCUUGCCCACAUUCCAGUCAUCGGGGAGCAGGCCAGUCUGCAAAGGUUGUGUAAGGAUCUCUGACAGCAUAA
Molecule: long non-coding RNA, 235 nt
Organism: Dermacentor andersoni
Lineage: Eukaryota; Metazoa; Arthropoda; Arachnida; Ixodida; Ixodidae
Source: RefSeq, a predicted model, not a curated record